RNAcentral lists this ribosomal RNA (549 nucleotides) under uncultured Gammaproteobacteria bacterium. RNAcentral's name for it is "bacterial SSU rRNA". It matches the Rfam family "Bacterial small subunit ribosomal RNA", at positions 337 to 877 of the family's 1533-position model. The record is from RNAcentral. Lineage: Bacteria; Pseudomonadati; Pseudomonadota; Gammaproteobacteria.
UCCUACGGGGGGGCAGCAGUGGGGAAUAUUGCCCAAUGAGGGAAAGCUUGAUGCAGCCAUACCGGGUGUGUGAAGAAGGCCCGAGGGUUGUAAAGCACUUUCAAUUGUGAGGAAGGUUCAGUAGUUAAUACCUGCUGUUCUUGACGUUAACUUUAGAAGAAGCACCGGCUAAAUUUGUGCCAGCAGCCGCGGUAAUACAGAGGGUGCAAGCGUUAUUUGGAAUUACUGGGGGUAAAGCGCGCGUAGGCGGAAUAUUAAGUCAGUUGUGAAAGCCCCGGGCUCAACCUUGGAACUGCCUUUGAUAAUGGUAUUCUAGAGUUUAGUAGAGGGAAGGGGAAUUCCUAGUGUAGCAGUGAAAUGCGUAGAUAUUAGGAGGAACAUCAGUGGGGAAGGGGCCUUCCUGGACUAAAACUGACGGUGAGGUGCGAAAGCGUGGGUAGCGAACCGGAUUAGAUACCCCGGUAGUUCCCCCCGUAAAAGAUGUCAAAUAGUUGUUGGCCUUAUUAAAAAGGUUAGUAACGCAGCUAACGCGAUAAGUGACCGCAUUGG